This is a long non-coding RNA of Homo sapiens (human), 4437 nucleotides long. Ensembl annotates it as ATP13A3 divergent transcript. Its record names the gene ATP13A3-DT. The record is from Ensembl. Lineage: Eukaryota; Metazoa; Chordata; Mammalia; Primates; Hominidae.
GAACGGGCAAAAGAAAGAAAGAGGCAGGCAUUCCUCAGGCCUUAUCUCUCUGGUUCUUUCUGCUACAUUUGACACCUUGGGAUGACUCUCACCUUCUGGAAUCUCUCUACUACCUUGGUUUCAGAAGAGUGAACCCUCUGGAUUAUCACAUGAAGCUACUUCCUGUGAGCAGCCCAGGGAUGGCCAGUCACUUGUGACCUACUUUCAGAGCUGGCAGUUCUGACUUCUAGAACAAACUCGGAACAAGCCCAUCUACAGCUGGUUGACUGAGUUUCCUUUGGGCUCCUGGCACCAGAAAGAAUUGCUCACUGGAAGGAUCAUAGGUGGCACUCAUGUCUCACUGCCCCACUCAGGCAACAUCAUGCACGCGGAUGAUCAACAGUCAGUUCCUGGUCAACAUAAGUAAACAAGCCUGUUUAAGAUAAAUUCCCCCACACUCCCUUGUACCUACUCCUUGCCCUCUGCCCCAGGGUUAUAGAACAGCUGCUUUCUGCUAUUCUCCCCCCAGGCUCUGCAGAACCUUCUGACCUUUCAGAAGGUUUGCAUCCUUUCCCUAUAGUUUUUCCACCGCUCUGACCAGUCCCCCACAAUAUAUAGCCUUGUAUGCAAAGCCAGGCCUGUCCAUGCAGGGUGACCAUCCAAGGUAGACAGUGGCAAAAUCUGGUGGAGGCAUCAGAGAUAGUGCCAUCAGUUUGCUGGAACAAGCAUAUCAAGGAGCCUGGCAGAUCUACACUUCACCAGACGGUGCCUGUAGCCAACAGGGCAGGCCCUUGCUCCAGGGAAACACUCAGAAAUCAAAACUCCUUGCUCUGCUGCCAGGGAACUCUCCAGGAGAUCCUCAGUGUCAUCAGAAGCUGAAAAAAACAGUGCUGAGAAACGUGGCCUGCCGUCUUUCCAGCUAAGGGAGAUGGCCCAUUCGACCCUGGGUUGUCCUCUGCAAACGCGCUGCUGCAGGUUGCAUGGCACCAUCUCCUGAUUGCAAUUUGCUUUCCUGAGGGAGUGAACUGACUGAAAUUGGAUGGUAAUAAGUUGCUAGGUUAUUUUCCACUUUUUAGUUUAUGAGGCUUAUUCAUUUUGCUUUAACAUUAACCACUGCCUUCCUUUUAAGGAGCUGGUGAGGCAGCGCAUGGCAACAGGUUCAGGGUGAGGAGUGGCACCACCUCCUUUCAGUGAGGAUUUGGGAAGGGUGAAAAGCACCCUAAUCUUCUCAGCCGCAUGUGAACAAACCACCUGUCAAGGUGGGUCCUUCCUAUAGGGAGGUUGAUGUCAGCCCUUCAGGGAGGUCUCAGUUUUCUUCCUCCACUUCCUAAUCCCUUCAUUAUAAUUCCUUCCACAACAGAAUAAGUUUCUUGAGCAAUGCAGCAAUAUCCAGCAAUUUUAGAUAGACAUUUACCUUUUGACCUAGAAAUCUCACUUCUACGAAUCCAUCCUAAAGACACACUUUCAGCUGGAUGUGGUCGCUCAUGCCUGCGAUCCUAACACUCUGGGAGGCUAAAGUGGAAGAAUCUCUUGGGCUCAGGAGCUCAAGACCAGCCUGGGCAACAUAGGAAGACCCUAUCUCUAAAAAAAAUAAAAAUAAAAACGGCACACAGUCAAAAAUUCAAAAAUUAAUAUACAUAAGGCUAUUUAUUACAGAAACAUUGGUAGUAGCAAAAGACUGGAAAUAACUCAAUGCCCAUCAAUAGGGAACGGAGUAAAUAAACUAAGAUACCUACACAUAAUGGAGUGCCAUGCAGCUUUGAAAGGAAAUGAGGCAUAUUUCUAUGUUAUAUGUUGUGAUCACCAGAAUAUAACCUAAUGAGUAAAAAGCCAGGUGAAGAAAAUUCUGAUAAUAUGCUAUCAUUGGAGAGGGGAAUAUGAAUAUACCAUACAUCACAUAGGAGGAGAGAGGAAAUAAAGUGAGAGGAUUGGGAUAGAAGCUAGACUUUUCUAAAUAUAUCUUGUUUUAUAGAUUUAUGUUGGAAGUUUGUGGAUAUAGUACUUUAGAAAAGUAUAAAACCAAAUUAGACUUGACAAAAUGAAACAAGUCAAUCUGUUGAGUUGAUGGUGUAACUACACAGUGAGAAACUAUUGCAAAUGACCUUAACACUCAGGAAUUCCACUGUAUAUUCCUAAUGGGAGAUCCCCUAAUGACCAAACUUAAACCCAGUCCAACCAAACCAAAAAACCUUGUAAAAUAUCUGAAACCAUUUUUAGUAAUGAAAUGAGAAAUGUGGUCGUGUUGGUGAUAUGGUUUGGCUGUGUCCCCACCCCGACAUCAUCUUGAAUUGUAACUCCCACAAUUCCCACAUGUCAUGAGAGGAACCCAGUGGGAGGUGAUUGAAUUAUGGGUGUGGGUCUUUCCUGCGCUGUUCCCAUGAUAGUGAAUGACAAGAUCUGAUGAUUUUAAAAACGGUUUCCCCGCACAACCUCCCUCUCUUGCCUGCCACCAUCUAUGUAAGAUGUGACUUGUUCCUCCUUGCCUUCCGCUGUGAUCGUGAGGCCUCCCCAGCCAUGUGGAACUGUAAGUCCAUUAAACCUCUUUUUCUUCCCAGUCUCGGGUAUGUCUUCAUCAGCAGCAUGAAAAUAAACUCAUACAGUAAAUUGGUACCAAUAAAGUGGGGUGCUGCUGAAAAGAUACCCAAAAAUGUGGAAGCGACUUUGGAACUGGGUUAUCAGGCAGAGGCUGGAACAGUUUGGAGGGCUCAGAAGAAGACAGGAAAAUGUGGGAAAGUUUGGAACUUCCUAGAGACUUGUUGAAUGGCUUUGACAAAAAUGCUGAUAGUGAUAUGAACAAUAAGGUCCAGGCUGAGGUGGUCUCAGAUGGAGAUGAGGAACUUGUUGGGAACUGGAACAAAGGUGACCCUUGUUAUGUUUUAGCAAAGAGACUGGUGGCAUUUUGCUCCUGCCUUAGAGAUUUGCAGAACUUUGAACUUGAGAGAGAUGAUUUAGAGUAUCUGGUGGAAGAAAUGUCUAAGCAACAAAGUAUUCAAGAGGUGACUUGGGCGUUCUUAAACACAUUCAGUUUUAUAAGGGAAGCAGAGCAUAAAAGUUCAGAAACUUGCAGCCUGACAAUGUAAUAGAAAAGAAAAUUCUAUUUUCUGAGGAGAAAUUCAAGCUGGCUGCAGAAAUUUGCAUAAGAAAUGGGGACCCAAAUAUUAAUCUCCAAGACAAUGGGGAAAAUGUCUCCAGGGCAUUUCAGAGGUCUUCAUGGCAGCCCCUCCCAUCACGGGACCAGAGGCCUAGGAGGAAAAAAAUGGUUUCUUGGGCCAGGCCCAGGGUCUCCGUGCUGUGUGCAGCCUAGGGACUUGGUGCCCUGCAUCCCAGCUACUCCAGCCAUGAUUAAAAGGGCCCAAGGUACAGCUCGGGCCGUGGCUGCAGAGGGUGCAAGCCUCAAGCCUUGGAAGCUUCUAUGUGGAAUUCAACCUGUGGGUGCACAGAAGUCAAGAACUGAGGCUUGGGAACCUCUGCCUAGAUUUCAGAGGAUGUAUGGAAACGCCUGGAUAUCCAGGAAGUUUGCUGCAGGGACAGGGCCCUCAUGGAGAACCUCUGCUGGGACAGUGUGGAAAGGAAAUGUGGAGUUGGAGUCCCCACACAGAGUCCCAACUGGGGCACCACCUAGUGGAGCUGUGAGAAGAGGGCCACUGUCCUCCAGACCCCAGAAUGGUAGAUCCACCGACAGCUUGCACAUGUGCCUGGAAAAUCGGCAGACACUCAACACCAGCCCAUGAAAGCAGCCAGAAGGGAGGGUGUACCCUGCAAAGCCACAGGGGCUGAGCUGCCCAAGACCAUGGGAACCCACUUCUUGCAUCAGCGUGACCCGGAUGCGAGACAUGGAGUCAAAGGAGAUCAUUUUGGAGAUUUAAGACUUAACUGCCCUGCUGGAUUUCUGAUUUGUAUGGGGACCAGAGCGCCUUUGUUUUGGCCAAUUUCUCCCAUUUGGAAUGGCUGUAUUUACCCGAUACCUGUACCCCCAUUGUAUCUGGGAAGUAACUAACUUGCUUUUGAUCUUACAAGCUCCUAGGCGAAAGGAAUGUGCCUUGUCUCAGAUGAGACUUUGGACUGUGGACUUUUGAGUUAAUGCUGAAAUGAGUUAAGACUUUGGGAGACUGUUGGGAAGGCAUGACUGGUUUUGAAACGUGAGAACAUGAGAUUUGGGAGGGGCCAGAGGCGGGAUGAUAUGGUUUGGCUGUGUCCCCACCGAAAUCUCAUUUUGAAUUGUAACUCCCACAACUCCUGUGUGUCAUUGGAGGAACCCAGUGGGAGGUGAUCGAAUUAUGGGGGCAGGUCUUUCCUGUGCGGUUCUCAUGAUGGUAAAUGAGUCUCACAAGAGCUGAUCGUUUUAAAAGUGGGAGUUUCCCUGUACAAGCUGUCUCUCUUGCCUGCUGCCAUUCAUGUAAGAUGUGACUUACUCCUCCUUGCCUUCCACAAUGAUUGUGAGGCCGUCCCAGCCAUGUG